Non-coding RNA from Camellia sinensis, 2892 nucleotides. Lineage: Eukaryota; Viridiplantae; Streptophyta; Magnoliopsida; Ericales; Theaceae. The record is from RefSeq and is a predicted model, not a curated record.
UCUAUCAUGCCUCUGUCUCUCUGUCACGCCCUCCUCCUCCUCCCCUCUCUCUCUCUCUCUCUCUCUCUCUCUCUCUCUCUCCACUGUCGUCAGUAUAGGAUCACACGACCACCACUGCCACUGAUAUCACCAUUGCAAACUAGCAGCCAUUCUCUGAAAUCGAGGAGACGCAAUCGAAGCGGUUUGACAUUAAGAUCGCCAUCCAAAUUUAGACGCUAGAAUCGACAGAGACGACAAUUGAGCUACGUAGUAGGGGCGGAAUGUAGUGGGGGAAUCAGAAAACCUAAUUUUAUUUCUCUUCACUCUCUCUCUCUCAUAUAUAUAUAUAUGUAUGUAUAAGCAGUUUUAGAUCUCUCUCUCUCUUUAAUUAAAUUUACAGAACAUGAUGCUUUGCUUUGUUUUGCUUUGAAUUGCUUUCUCAGAACUCAAAAAGAGAAAGAAAAAGAAAAAGGGUUUUCUUGACAACUCCAUUCGAUUCAUCUAAAAUUCUCGUUUUCUCCAAAAUGGGGUUGUGGGAUUCCCUCCUCAAUUGGCUCAGUAGGUAAUUUACUUCUUUCUCUUCUAAUCUUCCAUAUUUUUUGUCAGAAUGAUUCUUGUCUAACUCCAAGGAAUGAAGCGCAAAAUGGAGCAUUCUGUCAGGGAGAAACAGUUUCAUUUACUUCUAAGGUUGUUAAGGAUUUUUUGAAGUUGUGUCAUAAUGUUAUGGUAAAUGAAUCUCGUGUUUUAGUUCUCAUCUUGGUUAUGACAAAAUUGUUCAUGGUGGAUAUAUCUUGUUAAACUGUUUAUAUACAUUAUUAGUGGGAGUUGGUCAAUUGGAGUAAUUUUGUGUUGCUUUAAAACAGCAUGAAGACAAUAUAAAAAAUAUGAAGUCUCAGAAAAAUAGCUUGGAUGACUUCAUUCUUGACAUGCAAGGUAUAUUAUUUUCUAAUUUUUAGUUUGUGUAAGUGUGCCUGUAAAAUUUAUUGUCUAAUUUUCUAAUUAAAUGUUUUAAGAUAUUACGUUUUUUGAAAAAAAGAAAGAAAAGAAGUUACUGCCAGAAAUUAGCUUGAUUGGUAUAUGUUGUCAUAUCAAAAGGGAAGAUGCAGGAUUCAAGUGCCAAUUAGCAAAAAUUAUGUUCCCUAAGCCCUUAAGUAGAGGCCACAUAGUGCGCUCUGUGAGUGUGAUUGGUUUUCGUCAAUAAUGCAUUUCUAAUGAGCAUAACUCAUUAAAUUUUACCAAUUUCUAUCGUACCCCUUGUUCACACUGAAGAUCAACUCCAUGCUUUUUUAUUACAAUUACAUGGAAUUAAGUUAUUACGUUAAUAAGAUCUGCAUUCAAACUUUGGAAGUGAAAUAAUUUUGAGUUUGAAGAAGUUAAGAUCUUGAUUCUCUUGCGAUAAUGUAUGAUUUACUUGUAUCAUUUGCUUAUAUUUUUUUCCUGAUAAUUAUUAUCUCAUUUAAUCUUGGGAAAUAUCAUUCAUCAAGUAUGCCUAUGAUGGAAGACAGGGAUCAUACUGGUGUGGACAGUGAGGAGGAACCAUUAGAACAUAUAAUAGGGCACGAGAAAUCUGCAACUGGCAUUUUGUGCUUGCCGAAACUUGCCAUGGCAAUGAGGCUUCCAAUCUUCUAUUGACCAAGGAUGUGUUGGGUAUUGUUGCUACACUUGGGAAAGUGGAUGAUGACAAUCUCAGUAGGUUGGUUUGAAAUUGCAAUCUUCUGUGUUUUUAAUUGUUUACUUUGUACUAUUGUCAUUGCUUCUUAUUUAGUUGUGUUCGAUAAUUUUUCAGCCAUUUUGACAUGGACAUGGUAGAGAAUUAAUUGUCCCAUCCUAAUGAUAUGUAGCUCUAGUGAUUGAAUAUAUUCUGGUAAAUGUUUUGUAUAUUAUUAGGUUCGUUUGAAGUUUGCAUGGUCGUGUGUGUUUUUGAAUAGGUGCAAUGAGUGUAGUUGUUACAUUGAUGUCUUGGCAGUUCUGAUGUUAAGAUGCUAUGCUAACUUUACUGGCUCAUGGAUGGUAGACUUCCUACAGCAUGUUGAUUAAGGUGUAGUCAGAGAGUCUUACUGUUAUUAGUGAUCUAUAGUAUACUUGACAUGUUCUGUUUUUCCAACUCUAGAGUCAGGCUUGUCUCGGAGUACUUGGGUAUAGAAACGAUGUUGGCAGUUGUCUGCAAGACUUACAAUGGUGUUAAAGCUCUGGAAACAUAUGAAAAAGAUGGUUCUGUCAGUAAAAGUUCUGCCCUUCAUGGGCUUGGAACUUCCAUAGGGAGGCAUUUGGAUGGCCAUUUUCAAGUCAUUUAUCUUGAAAAUUUAAGACCAUUCCAUGGUGAGUUUGUAGCGGAGGACCCCCAGAUGCAACUUGAUAUUUUCAAGCCAAGUUUAUAUUAUCUGGUGCUGUUGAUCUCAUCUGCGUUGAUUCUGUCUCAGCUCUUACUCCACGAGCUGAGAUUGAAGGGGAAAUUGGAAUGUAGCAAAUGGGUUUGCAAGCAUGUCUCAUGAGCCAAGCUCUGUGUAAAAUGUCUGGAAAUGCCUCCAAAGCUAGAUGUACUCGUAUUUUUCUGAAUCAAAUAAGACAAGGUAAUUUUGAUUAAUAAGGUGUAAAAUAGAGCCCUGAAGACCAGAGGACACACUCUAUUACAAUCACUUUCUUCAAUCACUCUCACCAUUACUACAACUCAAGGUCCAGUACCGAAGAUGCAACCCUUUUUGAGUACGUGAUGAUAUUUUUGCAUUUCGAUAUUGGAGCUUACUGUUGAUAUUAAAACAAACUAUAAUAUAUAUGUUUUUUUAUUUGGAUUGUUGAUACUUUUGUUUUGCUUUAGAUACAAAAAUUUAAGUUAUUGAAUAUCAAAAGUUAUUAGUAUUGUUAGAGAAUGUUUUAUAUAUUUUUGUAAAGAAUAUUUGGUUGACAAUUGUUACA